RNAcentral lists this long non-coding RNA (390 nucleotides) under Dermacentor andersoni. Its description in RNAcentral is "uncharacterized LOC126539639". The record is from RNAcentral. Lineage: Eukaryota; Metazoa; Arthropoda; Arachnida; Ixodida; Ixodidae.
GGCAUCCUCUGGAGAGAGGAGACGCUAUGAACGUAUGGGGCUAAUUACAUGUAACACAACAUCUUUCAGAUAACUUAGGACUGCGUUGGUGUCAAAUAGCGGUUCUGGGCCGAGUAACAUUACUGGAUUAAGGGGGAUCUGCUGCCGGUAUGCUAGGGGAAAAUGUUUCUCUCAGAUUCGGCUGCCCGACACUCCAGGAGGACGUGGAGGACGGUCAGCCUCUCCCCGCAUCUACCACAGGUUGGAGGAUCAUUUUCAGGUGCAGUACACCGGAUUCCGAGAAGGAUGGACCAAUGGCUGCGUAGGACACCCCGGCAUGCGACUUAGAAGCGUCUGUGUAAAACUCUGUGCACGAGUACUUGUACUGGAGCUCCAAGAAAUGCAUUUUGA